CUUUUUUUAAUUAAUAACAAGAAAUGCACAAUAUAACAAAAAAUAAUGCCCUUUAGCUAAUACAUUGCAUAAAACCCAACUAUUUUCCUGAAUAUCAAUUUGACCAUAAAUGUUGGUUUAACUAUACAUAUCAUACCGGCCCAUAUAAUACAAACAGUUCAAUAAAUGAAGACAUUUUAAACUGUGUUAACAUUCAUGACAUUAUCAAGCACCAAUAGGUUAACAAAUCUGCAAUAUUUACAGGCCUGAGCAAAAAUCAAACCAUGACAAAACAGAAGAACGAAAGGAACAUGGAAUAGAUGAAAACAAAUGCAGAAAUUUUGAAAAAAAAUCUAGAGAAAUGGAGGAAAUAAUUAUCAUUUUUAGCACAUCAUGAACACAACUUGUCAAUAUCCCCUUAAAGAUUUAAAAGGUUUCUUUUGAAACUACAUGUAAUAUCAUUUUGCAUUUAAUUCAAAUGAAAUAUUUAACCCCUAAAAUAUUAAGCCUUAAUAUCAUAAUGUGUCAUAUACAUUUGUACACAAGCUAUGUAUAUGACAUAUUAUCUUGUCUUUUUUUCUAUAAAUGUUUUGUCCAUAAAAAAAUAUAAAAAAGGACACAGUACUCUGGUACAUGUUAAUGGUCCCAUCUAAAAUUCAUGGAUUAAAAAAAUACCAUUUGUAUGAUGAAUAAACUGUAUAAGUUGAAAUAACUACAAUGCAUGGCAAUAUUAAACAGAAUACAAUAAAACUGACUAAUAUAUGUAUAUGUAUAACAGAUCUUUCUUCUCUUAAAGAUUGGAAAAAAAAACUAAAAAUUACUACAAAGCAAUAUUAUUUACAUGUAUACAUUAAACAUUUGGAAAGGCCCAUCAAUACUUAAAGCUUCCAAGUACCAUAACAAUGAUAAAAUGAGUUAAUAAGCACCAAGUUUAUAUAUGGGAACACCUUUGGGGGACAGAAAUAUAUAUUUUAUCAUUGACUAGGAGUUAACAUCAUUGUCAACGUAAUACUCCACCAAUUAUCAUCAUUUUGUAUUUGGGGUAAAUGAUGGGAAAAAACAUAUUUACACGAUUUAUGGUAAAUGUUUGCAAAGUCUCACAACUGAAUUUUUAAUACAAUUCCUUACUUUUUUAACUAUUAUCAUGAUUAUAAAUAUAAAAGUGAUAUUUUUCUUAAAUUUAUGAUGAGAACAAAAACUUGCACUGUAAAAGUUUAGCAGGAUUUUUUAUGAAUAAUGAAUGCUGACGUACUUCAUGUACUUAUAUUGUUUCAAGCAAGCUGUUAGACGUGUAAAUAGUAUUUUUGAGAUUUCAAAUUUAUCAAUAUAGAUAACGUCAGUUCUUAUCCUAUUGGACCAUUUCUUUGCUACUUUUCUUUUAAAGACAAAAUGAAAAAAAAAAAAUUGCUAUUAAUAUUUCUUACACAAUAUUCUCAUGAUCAGUAUUCUUGACGUUGUCAUACAUUAUACAUGUACUCAAUCAGUAAAUGUACAUUUUGGACCUAAGACAUAUCAGAAUUGGGAAUGGUAUAACAUACAUAUAAGAAAGUAGCACUACAAGUUUUCAACCCCUAAUCUUAAUCACUAAGCAUGCUAAGCACCUCUUCAAAAAGCACUAAACUGAACUGAACACCAUAUUCAUAUAUAUAUCAUGUAUAUGUUUAUCAUGUUUAUCUACAUGUACAGUAAUACCUACAACAAUUGUAAACAUGGUAAAAGACAUGGUAAAAAUGAUCAUCACUUCAUUUGUAAUAAAAUUUCCAGUUCAAUUUUAAGUUCAAAAUUGAACUUGAAGAAAAGUUGGCAUAUUGAUAAAUUUUUCUUUCUAAUUUUAUAUUAAAAUGUCAGAUAAAUCCCAUAGAUCUACCUAAUCAUGAUGAUCCAUGUAAAAUUUCUGACAUUUAAUACAUAUAUAUAUAUAUAUAUAUAUAUACAUGAUACAGUUCUGUCUUUAUUCAAAUCUUCCUUAAAUUCUAAAACUAUGGUAUAAUCAUUUAUCUUAGCUAUAGGCCAUGGAAAAAUAAUUGAUGGUUUCCAGGUCAUUUUUUUACCGCCGGGUCAUUUAAUUUUUCUGUAAAAGUGUUGAAAAUAUGCAAGAUUAUAGUUCCGCUAUCAAAUGGCUAUAGAAACAAAACAUAUAAAAUUACGCAUGGUUACGAAAAAAAAAAGCCUGCCUGCUGGGUCUUUAAAGUUUUCCCAUGUUAGGGGAAACCAACAAUUAAUUUUCCAUGGUCUUAUCAUUUAGAAGUUAAACUAGGGUAAGACUAUGUACUUUGAUGUACAUGUAGUGCACAUGAUGUACAAAGUGACAUACAUGACAUACAUGUACAUGAAUAUAAAAAUUUAAAUAAACUUUUGACUUUUGUACUGACAUAUCAGUAUAUAUUUAUAUUAUACAUGUAGCAUUGUCUAGCUCUAUGACCAUGAAUUACUGUAUAACAGCAUUUACAUCCUUAUUAUCAUAUACAAAAUGUAUAACUUGGUAACAGUUUACAAUGCAAGACUGCUUUGUAUAACCAUGACAACUGACACAUUUGAUAUUAAAAUAUAUUUGAAAAACAAAACUAGUAAACAGGUUAUGAUAAUCAGAACACAGGAUCAAUGAUAUAUGCAUGAUAUAUAUAUGCAGUCCUGAAUAGACAAAAGAUAAAACGAACUUGAUUUUCAGGAUUAAAAAGUAAAUUUCAUACACAUGUUUAUA
Molecule: long non-coding RNA, 2680 nt
Filed under: Mytilus galloprovincialis (Mediterranean mussel)
Lineage: Eukaryota; Metazoa; Mollusca; Bivalvia; Mytilida; Mytilidae
Source: RNAcentral